RNAcentral lists this ribosomal RNA (406 nucleotides) under uncultured bacterium. RNAcentral's name for it is "partial 16S ribosomal RNA". It matches the Rfam family "Bacterial small subunit ribosomal RNA", at positions 29 to 526 of the family's 1533-position model. The record is from RNAcentral.
AUUGAACGCUGGCGGCAGGCCUAACACAUGCAAGUCGAGCGAGCGGCGGACGGGUGAGUAAUGUCUGGGAAACUGCCUGAUGGAGGGGGAUAACUACUGGAAACGGUAGCUAAUACCGCAUACCAUCAGAUGUGCCCAGAGGGGAUUAGCUAGUAGGUGGGGUAACGGCUCACCUAGGCCACGAUCCCUAGCUGGUCUGAGAGGUUGACCAGCAAUACGGGAACUGAGACACGGACCAGACUCCUACGGGAGGCAGGAGUGGGGAAUAUGGCACAAUGGGCGCAAGCCUGAUGCAGCCAUGCCGCGUGUGGCACGAAGGCCUUCGGGUUGUAAAGCACUUUCAGCGGGGAGGCGUUAUCAGAAGAAGAAGCACCGGCUAACUCCGUGCCAGCAGCCGCGGUAAUUC